This 69-nucleotide transfer RNA is filed under the name Plutella xylostella (diamondback moth). RNAcentral describes it as "tRNA-Glu". The record is from RNAcentral. Lineage: Eukaryota; Metazoa; Arthropoda; Insecta; Lepidoptera; Plutellidae.
GAUAUAGCUCAGUCGGGUGAGCGCCCGCUUCUCAAUCAAGAGAUGCGGGUUCGAAUCCCGGCGCUGACA